UUCACCAUUUCCUAAAACCUUGCCUCUUAGAUGCCAUCCCUUGUUACUUCUUUUUAAUUUGCUAGAGGACAGCUUCAAGCAACAUCCUAAGAAAAAGCUAAAAAACAGAUAAAUAAAUUUGGGCACAGAGAGGUUAAAUAACUUGUUGAAGGUGAAACAGCCAACAAGAAUGGAGCUAGUAUUCAGCCAAGGUGUUUACUGAAGAAUUCACACACAACAGGAAGUAUUCCUGGUGCUGGG
Long non-coding RNA from Dama dama (fallow deer), 240 nucleotides. RefSeq lists it as uncharacterized. The record is from RefSeq and is a predicted model, not a curated record. The transcript is spliced from 3 exons. NCBI's taxonomy places the organism in Eukaryota, Metazoa, Chordata, Mammalia, Artiodactyla, Cervidae.